UACGUAGGUGGCAAGCGUUAUCCGGAAUUAUUGGGCGUAAAGGGUGCGUAGGCGGUCUAAUAAGUCUGAAGUAAAAGCCAGUGGCUCAACCACUGUCCGCUUUGGAAACUGUUAGACUAGAGUGCAGAAGAGGCAAGUGGAAUUCCAUGUGUAGCGGUAAAAUGCGUAGAUAUAUGGAGGAACACCAGUGGCGAAGGCGGCUUGCUGGUCUGUAACUGACGCUGAGGCACGAAAGCGUGGGGAGCAAAUAGG
Molecule: ribosomal RNA, 252 nt
Filed under: uncultured bacterium
Lineage: Bacteria
Description: partial 16S ribosomal RNA
Rfam family: Bacterial small subunit ribosomal RNA
Source: RNAcentral